GACGAACGCUGGCGGCGUGCUUAACACAUGCAAGUCGAACGGAAAGGCCCUGCUUUUGUGGGGUGCUCGAGUGGCGAACGGGUGAGUAACACGUGAGUAACCUGCCCUUGACUUUGGGAUAACUUCAGGAAACUGGGGCUAAUACCGGAUAGGAGCUCCUGCUGCAUGGUGGGGGUUGGAAAGUUUCGGCGGUUGGGGAUGGACUCGCGGCUUAUCAGCUUGUUGGUGGGGUAGUGGCAUACCAAGGCUUUGACGGGUAGCCGGCCUGAGAGGGUGACCGGCCACAUGAGUACUGAGGUACGGCCCAGACUCCUACGGGAGGCAACAGUGGGGAGUAUUGCACAAUGAGCGGAAGCCUGAUGCAGCAACGCCGCGUGCGGGAUGACGGCCUUCGGGGUGUAAACCGCUGUCGCCUGUGACGAAGCGUGAGUGACGGUAAUGGGUAAAGAAGCACCGGCUAACUACGUG
RNAcentral lists this ribosomal RNA (468 nucleotides) under uncultured bacterium. RNAcentral describes it as "partial 16S ribosomal RNA". It matches the Rfam family "Bacterial small subunit ribosomal RNA", at positions 28 to 507 of the family's 1533-position model. The record is from RNAcentral.